This 207-nucleotide ribosomal RNA is filed under the name uncultured bacterium. RNAcentral's name for it is "partial 16S ribosomal RNA". It matches the Rfam family "Bacterial small subunit ribosomal RNA", at positions 568 to 774 of the family's 1533-position model. The record is from RNAcentral.
UUCGUAGGCGGCGCUGUAAGUUGGAUUUGAAAUAUCGGGGCUCAACCCCGGAACCGGAUCCAAAACUACAGUGCUAGAGCAGAUCAGAGGGCAGUGGAAUUCCCGGUGUAGCGGUAAUAUGCGUAGAGAUCGGGAGGAACACCAGUGGCGAAGGCGGCUGCCUGGGGUCUUGCUGACGCUGAGGAACGAAAGCUAGGGUAGCGAACG